GGGUGCGACCAUACUUGGCCGAAUGCGCCAUAUCCCGUCCGAUUUGUGAAGUUAGGCGGCCACAGGCCUCGUCAGUACGGCGGUCAGUGGUGGUGGCGCUGGAACCCGGGGUGCCGUACCCU
Molecule: ribosomal RNA, 122 nt
Filed under: Trypanosoma theileri
Lineage: Eukaryota; Euglenozoa; Kinetoplastea; Trypanosomatida; Trypanosomatidae
Source: RNAcentral